GACGAACGCUGGCGGCGUGCCUAAUACAUGCAAGUAGAACGCACAGUUUAUACCGUAGCUUGCUACACCAUAAACUGUGAGUUGCGAACGGGUGAGUAACGCGUAGGUAACCUGCCUGGUAGCGGGGGAUAACUAUUGGAAACGAUAGCUAAUACCGCAUAAUAUUGAUUAUUGCAUGAUAAUUGAUUGAAAGAUGCUAUUGCAUCACUACCAGAUGGACCUGCGUUGUAUUAGCUAGUAGGUGAGGUAACGGCUCACCUAGGCGACGAUACAUAGCCGACCUGAGAGGGUGAUCGGCCAAACUGGGACUGAGACACGGCCCAGACUCCUACGGGAGGCAGCAGUAGGGAAUCUUCGGCAAUGGACGAAAGUCUGACCGAGCAACGCCGCGGGAGUGAAGAAGGGUUUCGGAUCGUAAAGCUCUGUUGUAAGAGAAGAACGGGUGUGAGAGUGGAAAGUUCACACUGUGACGGUAGCUUAACAGAAAGGGACGGCUAACUACGUG
Molecule: ribosomal RNA, 505 nt
Filed under: uncultured bacterium
Lineage: Bacteria
Description: partial 16S ribosomal RNA
Rfam family: Bacterial small subunit ribosomal RNA
Source: RNAcentral